GAAGACUGAAGUGGAGAAAGGUUCCAUGGUAACAGCAGUUGGACAUGGGUGAGUCGGUCCUAAGAGAUAGGGGAACUCCGUUUCAAAGUGUGCGCUUGUUCGCACGGCCUAUCGAAAGGGAAUACGGUUAAAAUUCCGUAACCGCAAUGUAGAUUCUGAACGGCAACGUAAAUGAACUUGGAGACGCCGGUGUGGGCCCUGGGAAGAGUUAUCUUUUCUCCUUUACAGCUUAUAACCCUGGAAUCGGAUUAUCCGGAGAUAGGGUCUAAUGGCUGGUAGAGCAUUGCUAUUUUGUAAUGUCCGGUGCGUCCACAACGGCCCUUGAAAAUCCGAGGGAAUGAAAAAGUCUUACAUGCGAUCGUACCCAUAUCCGCAUCAGGUCCCCAAGGUGAUCAGCCUCUAGUCCAUAGAAUAAUGUAGAUAAGGGAAGUCGGCAA
This 437-nucleotide ribosomal RNA is filed under the name Rhodosorus marinus. RNAcentral describes it as "partial Eukaryotic large subunit ribosomal RNA". It matches the Rfam family "Eukaryotic large subunit ribosomal RNA", at positions 1486 to 1920 of the family's 3401-position model. Lineage: Eukaryota; Rhodophyta; Stylonematophyceae; Stylonematales; Stylonemataceae. The record is from RNAcentral.